This 265-nucleotide ribosomal RNA is filed under the name uncultured Bdellovibrionales bacterium. Its description in RNAcentral is "partial 16S ribosomal RNA". It matches the Rfam family "Bacterial small subunit ribosomal RNA", at positions 1121 to 1382 of the family's 1533-position model. The record is from RNAcentral. Lineage: Bacteria; Pseudomonadati; Bdellovibrionota; Bdellovibrionia; Bdellovibrionales.
CCAGAUAAAGACUGAGCACGUCUAAGGGAACUGCCUGGGGUUAACCAGGAGGAAGGUGGGGAUGACGUCAAGUCAUCAUGGCCUUUAUGUCCAGGGCUACACACGUGCUGCAAUGGUCGGUACAAAGGGCAGCGAGCUCGCGAGUGCAAGCUAAUCCCAUAAAGCCGGCCUCAGUUCGGAUUGGAGUCUGCAACUCGACUCCAUGAAGUCGGAAUCGCUAGUAAUCGUGGAUCAGAAUGUCACGGUGAAUACGUUCCCGGGUCUU